GAGUUUGAUCCUGGCUCAGAUUGAACGCUGGCGCAGGCCUACACAUGCAAGUCGGACGGUAACAGGAACAGCUUGCUGUUGCUGACGAGUGGCGGACGGGUGAGUAAUGUCUGGGAAACUGCCUGAUGGAGGGGGAUAACUACUGGAAACGGUAGCUAAUACCGCAUAAUGUCGCAAGACCAAAGAGGGGGACCUUCGGGCCUCUUGCCAUCGGAUGUGCCCAGAUGGGAUUAGCUUGUUGGUGGGUAAGCUCACCAAGGCGACGAUCCCUAGCUGGUCUGAGAGGAUGACCAGCCACACUGGAACUGAGACACGGUCCAGACUCCUACGGGAGGCAGCAGUGGGGAAUAUUGCACAAUGGGCGCAAGCCUGAUGCAGCCAUGCCGCGUGUAUGAAGAAGGCCUUCGGGUUGUAAAGUACUUUCAGCGGGGAGGAAGGCGGUACGGUUAAUAACCGUGCCGAUUGACGUUACCCGCAGAAGAAGCACCGGCUAACUCCGUGCCAGCAGCCGCGGUAAUACGGAGGGUGCAAGCGUUAAUCGGAAUUACUGGGCGUAAAGGCACGCAGGCGGUCUGUCAAGUCGGAUGUGAAAUCCCCGGGCUCAACCUGGGAACUGCAUCCGAAACUGGCAGGCUAGAGUCUUGUAGAGGGGGGUAGAAUUCCAGGUGUAGCGGUGAAAGCGUAGAGCUGGAGGAAUACCGG
Molecule: ribosomal RNA, 702 nt
Filed under: Citrobacter farmeri
Lineage: Bacteria; Pseudomonadati; Pseudomonadota; Gammaproteobacteria; Enterobacterales; Enterobacteriaceae
Description: bacterial SSU rRNA
Rfam family: Bacterial small subunit ribosomal RNA
Source: RNAcentral